GAAGUAAAAGUCGUAACAAGGUUUCCGUAGGUGAACCUGCGGAAGGAUCAUUAACGAAUAUAAUUCGAGGGGUUGUCGCUGGCCUCGCUCGCGCGAGGCAUGUGCACGCUUCUCGUUUUUCUCUCAACUCACCUGUGCACCUAAUGUAGGAUGCCUCUCCUCCGGGAGGGGGGACCUAUGUCUUCGUAACAUCUUCGUGUAGAAAGUCUUUGAAUGUUUACUAUCAUCGAGUCGCGACUUCUAGGAGACGCGAUUCUUUGAGAUAAAAGUUAUUACAACUUUCAGCAACGGAUCUCUUGGCUCUCGCAUCGAUGAAGAACGCAGCGAAAAGCGAUAUGUAAUGUGAAUUGCAGAUCUACAGUGAAUCAUCGAAUCUUUGAACGCACCUUGCGCUCCUCGGUGUUCCGAGGAGCAUGCCUGUUUGAGUGUCAGUAAAUUCUCAACCCCUCUCGAUUAGCUUUGAGAGGGYGCUUGGAUAGUGGAGGUUGCCGGAGACUYGGAUUCGUCCGAGACUCGGGCUCUUCUGAAAUGCAUCGGCUUGCGGUCGACUUUCGACUAUGYGCGACAAGGCUUUCGGCGUGAUAAUGAUCGCCGUUCGCUGAAGCGCAUGACUGAAYGUCCCGUGCCUCUAAUAYGUCGACCGCUUAUUAUCUCUCCGGAGAGAACAGGGUCUUCCUUAUUGACUUUUGACCUCAAAUCAGGUAGGACUACCCGCUGAACUUAAGCAUAUCAAUAAGCGGAGGAAAAGAAACUAACAAGGAUUCCCCUAGUAACUGCGAGUGAAGAGGAAAAGCUCAAAUUUUGAAUCUGGCGGUCUUUAGGCCGUC
This 827-nucleotide ribosomal RNA is filed under the name Rhizopogon salebrosus. Its description in RNAcentral is "eukaryotic LSU rRNA". The stretch from base 277 to 431 matches the Rfam family "5.8S ribosomal RNA". The record is from RNAcentral. Lineage: Eukaryota; Fungi; Basidiomycota; Agaricomycetes; Boletales; Rhizopogonaceae.